Macaca mulatta (Rhesus monkey) is the source of this 1152-nucleotide long non-coding RNA. RefSeq lists it as uncharacterized. The record is from RefSeq and is a predicted model, not a curated record. Lineage: Eukaryota; Metazoa; Chordata; Mammalia; Primates; Cercopithecidae.
GCUCCGCCAAGCCAUCCGGCAAGGCCCUGGGAUCUGAGGCCUGGAAGGGCCAAGGCGAAAGCAACCGAGAAGGGACAAGAUGAGGUGUGGGACAUGGAGCGAGCCCACAGGCCACGGGGUUGCUAGAGGACUGCCUCUUCCUGGAACCCCUCAUUCAUAAGGAAGCCUGGAAGAGAGCCGGCCUGCGCUAGGGGCUGAGCCGUGGGCCCUUUGUUUGAAAGCCAAAGCUUUCCAAAGGCUCCAGCCUCCCAGCCUGGCCCUUAUAAUUAGCCCCAAUCAGAGUGUUUAUGUCGGGGCCUAGUGCGGAACUCAGGGCCUCAUGAUUUCAUUCCAAACCUGGGGGGAGGAGAGGGGAGUGAGAGGGACUUGUGUGGGGACAAAGAAAACUGAGGGAUGGGUAACAAAGUUGGUGAGAGAAGAGGAGGCCGUCCUGGAGCAGGAAGACAAUCAGCCUCCGUUUGGCCAUCAUCACACAGUCCUGUGAGGCCUCCAAGGGGCAUCCCAACACCCUUCCUCCCUCAGCAAGUGAAGCUUUCCAGCGUCUGGAUCUGGCUCGUCUCUCCAGUUUCACUUCCCUGCACUUCUGGGCUCCAGCCUGGGGACUCUCACCUUCUCAGACCAAACGUACCAGUGGCCUGAAUGCUCUUCCCUUCCUCUGGUCUGAACAUUAACUACCAGUAGCCUCAGAACUUGCCUCAGGUCAAGUGGCCCCUCUGCAGUGAGCCACACCCCUGUCCAACCCUCUGACACCCUCUGUCCCUAGCAUCCUGUUCUCACUUGCCAGAGCACAUCACAUUCUUUUUAGUUAUUUGUUGCCUUUCUUGAGUGUGACCUCCUUAAGGAAAGUCUGUGUUUGGUGUGUCUUUUAUCUCUGUAUAUCAGAACCUAGCAAGAUGCCUGGCGCAUAUGGGUGCCCAAGAUCAUAGGCUCAGGAGCCAGUCUACCAGGGCUUGAAUUCUGCCUCAACCAUUGCUAGCUGUUGACCUUGAGCAAGUUCAUUCACCUCUCUGUAUUAUGUGUAAAUGAGGAUAGUAAUUAAUUGUACCUACCAUGUAACUAGUGUGAGGAUUAAACAAACUAAAUAAAGUGUUUAAAACAAUGUUCAGUACAUAGUAAACACUCAGUAAAGGCUUGCUGGGCUUAUUCAUUCAU